UCUUCAUUUUGAGUACUCUCUCACCGGUCAGAAUUGCGAGAGAGCACGUAAAAUGAAGAGA
This 61-nucleotide microRNA precursor is filed under the name Pristionchus pacificus. RNAcentral's name for it is "mir-8364 microRNA precursor family". It matches the Rfam family "mir-8364 microRNA precursor family". The record is from Rfam by way of RNAcentral. Lineage: Eukaryota; Metazoa; Nematoda; Chromadorea; Rhabditida; Neodiplogasteridae.